CGGGAGGCAGCAGUAGGGAAUYYUCCRCRAUGRACGAAAGUYUGACGGAGCAACGCCGCGUGAGUGAUGAAGGUUUUCGGAUCGUAARGCYYUGUUGUUAGGGAAGAACAAGUGCCGUUCGAAUAGGGCSGCACCUUGACGGUACCUAACCAGAAAGCCCCGGCUAACUACGUGCCAGCAGCCGCGGUAAUACGUAGGGGGCAAGCGUUGUCCGGAAUUAUUGGGCGUAAAGCGCGCGCAGGCGGUCCUUUAAGUCUGAUGUGAAAGCCCACGGCUCAACCGUGGAGGGUCAUUGGAAACUGGAGGACUUGAGUACAGAAGAGGAGAGUGGAAUUCCACGUGUAGCGGUGAAAUGCGUAGAGAUGUGGAGGAACACCAGUGGCGAAGGCGACUCUCUGGUCUGUAACUGACGCUGAGGCGCGAAAGCGUGGGGAGCGAACAGGAUUAGAUACCCUGGUAGUCCACGCCGUAAACGAUGAGUGCUAGGUGUUAGGGGGUUUCCGCCCCUUAGUGCUGAAGUUAACGCAUUAAGCACUCCGCCUGGGGAGUACGGCCGCAAGGCUGAAACUCAAAAGAAUUGACGGGGGCCCGCACAAGCGGUGGAGCAUGUGGUUUAAUUCGACGCAACGCGAAGAACCUUACCAGGUCUUGACAUCCUCUGCAAUCGGUAGAGAUACCGAGUUCCCUUCGGGGACAGAGUGACAGGUGGUGCAUGGUUGUCGUCAGCUCGUGUCGUGAGAUGUUGGGUUAAGUCCCGCAACGAGCGCAACCCUUGAUCUUAGUUGCCAGCAUUUAGUUGGGCACUCUAAGGUGAMYGCCGGUGACAAACCGGAGGAAGGUGGGGAUGACGUCAAAUCAUCAUGCCCCUUAUGACCUGGGCUACACACGUGCUACAAUGGAUGGAACAAAGGGAAGCAAAACCGCGAGGUCAAGCAAAUCCCAUAAAACCAUUCUCAGUUCGGAUUGCAGGCUGCAACUCGCCUGCAUGAAGCCGGAAUCGCUAGUAAUCGCGGAUCAGCAUGCCGCGGUGAAUACGUUCCCGGGCCUUGUACACACCGCCCGUCACACCACGAGAGUUGGUAACACCCGAAGUCG
This 1095-nucleotide ribosomal RNA is filed under the name Virgibacillus halodenitrificans. RNAcentral describes it as "bacterial SSU rRNA". Lineage: Bacteria; Bacillati; Bacillota; Bacilli; Caryophanales; Bacillaceae. The record is from RNAcentral.